This 410-nucleotide non-coding RNA is filed under the name Pseudocitrobacter faecalis. Lineage: Bacteria; Pseudomonadati; Pseudomonadota; Gammaproteobacteria; Enterobacterales; Enterobacteriaceae. The record is from RNAcentral.
GAGUCGCACAGUGAAGUGAACAUCAGGAUGAUGACACUUCAAACAGGACACACCAGGACGGUGCUUCAGGGAUAGGCCUCAGGAUGAGGUAAGUGGAUACGCCAGGAUGGUGUAACAAGGAUAGGCUUCAGGACGAGGCAAAAGGAUAACGCAGGACGCGUUAAAGGACACCUCCAGGAUGGAGAAUGAGAGCCAGACAGGAUGCCUGGUGGAGCAAGAAGUUCAGGACAUACUCAGGGAUUGGGUAGAUUCGCAUCGGGGUGGUGUGAGCAGGACGCAACAGUUUACGGAUGAACAGGCCGCAAGGCCGCAGGAAAAGUUGUCACGGACGAGCAGGGAGCACGAAAAGUAGCUGGAAUGCUGCGAAACGAACCGGGAGCACUGUUUAUACAGUGCUCCCUUUUUUUGUU